Molecule: ribosomal RNA, 292 nt
Filed under: uncultured bacterium
Lineage: Bacteria
Description: partial 16S ribosomal RNA
Rfam family: Bacterial small subunit ribosomal RNA
Source: RNAcentral
GUGUCAGCAGCCGCGGUAAUACGUAGGUUGCGAGCGUUGUCCGGAUUUACUGGGCGUAAAGCGCACGCAGGCGGUUCCGAAAGUCGAAUGUGAAAGCUCCUGGCCCAACUGGGAGAGGCCGUUCGAAACUUCGGGACUUGAAGGCGGGAGAGGCAGAUGGAAUUUCCGGUGUAGCGGUAAAAUGCGUAGAUACCGGAAGGAACACCAGUGGCGAAAGCGAUCUGCUGGCCCGCCCUUGACGCUCAGGUGCGAAAGCUAGGGGAGCGACCGGGAUUAGAAACCCCCGUAGUCC